UCCAAAGUUGACAAUAGGUACGAGUUAACGGCUUGAUCACAGGCUCGAGUCAUUAUAAGAAGCCUCCAAUGAGUUGUCUCCNUCUCCAAAGUUGACAAUAGGUACGAGUUAACGGCUUGAUCACAGGCUCGAGUCAUUAUAAGAAGCCUCCAAUGAGUUGUCUCCAAGAAUGAGUUUUUCUUUUGGUGAUUUGUCAAGAUCAAGAUAGGAUUAUUGGUUCAUAAGUAAUCAUUGAAACUUGGAUUCAAUUUCAACAAAUAAUCCGUAUUAUUUCAUUUUAUGGUCGGUCAAAUUCUACUGGAU
This 303-nucleotide long non-coding RNA is filed under the name Olea europaea (common olive). Its description in RNAcentral is "long non-coding RNA (OEUR_LNC010729)". Lineage: Eukaryota; Viridiplantae; Streptophyta; Magnoliopsida; Lamiales; Oleaceae. The record is from RNAcentral.